Molecule: ribosomal RNA, 274 nt
Filed under: uncultured bacterium
Lineage: Bacteria
Description: partial 16S ribosomal RNA
Rfam family: Bacterial small subunit ribosomal RNA
Source: RNAcentral
AUACGGAGGGUGCAAGCGUUGUUCGGAAUCACUGGGCGUAAAGGGCGCGCAGGCGGUUUGGUAAGUCAGAUGUGAAAGCCCACGGCUCAACCGUGGAAGUGCAUUUGAAACUGCCAGACUUGAGUACCUGAGGGGAAAGUGGAAUUCCCGGUGUAGAGGUGAAAUUCGUAGAUAUCGGGAGGAAUACCGGUGGCGAAGGCGACUUUCUGGCUGGAUACUGACGCUGAGGUGCGAAAGCGUGGGUAGCAAACGGGAUUAGAUACCCUAGUAGUCC